RNAcentral lists this ribosomal RNA (276 nucleotides) under Theodoxus sp. RNAcentral's name for it is "partial 28S ribosomal RNA gene". It matches the Rfam family "Eukaryotic large subunit ribosomal RNA", at positions 41 to 307 of the family's 3401-position model. The record is from RNAcentral. Lineage: Eukaryota; Metazoa; Mollusca; Gastropoda; Cycloneritida; Neritidae.
UAUCACUAAGGGGAGGAAAAGAAACUAACAAGGAUUCCCCUAGUAACGGCGAGUGAAGCGGGAAGAGCCCAGCACCGAAUCCCGCGGCCCAGCGUCGCCGGGAACUGUGGUGUUCGAGUCGUGAGAUGCCGACCCCGUGCGAACGCCCAAGUCCUCCCGAUCGGGGCCUUUCCCAGAGUGGGUGCUAGGCCUUUACUGGCGAUCAGCCGGGGCGGCUCCGAGCGUCUCAAGAGUCGGGUUGUUUGGGAAUGCAGCCCAAAGUGGGUGGUAAACUCC